UCUGCCCUAAUGGCCAUUACUAUCCAGUC
RNAcentral lists this non-coding RNA (29 nucleotides) under Macaca fascicularis (crab-eating macaque). Lineage: Eukaryota; Metazoa; Chordata; Mammalia; Primates; Cercopithecidae. The record is from RNAcentral. RNAcentral also lists the same sequence under 1 other name.